AUCAGUUCCGCUACGUACAAGCGCCAUUGCACAAUCAGCUUGUAAUCAUUUGUUGUGGCAUUGUCAGCUUCUGUAAGAAAUAAAUUAAGAAAAAUAAAAAGGCGAAAAGUAGGCCACCAUUGUGUUCCUUCAGAAACCAUUUCAAACGAAAGACGUUGGCUUUCCUCCAAAAACCAUUUCUCCCAAACCCAUUUCUUAGAUUUCAUCUGGAAAAGAAGAAAAACUCUGAAUUUCGUUUCCACGAUUUCUCUCAAAUUAACCUGUUUCUGCAGGAAAGUUGCUUGUUUUCGUUGACGCUGGAGCGCUCCAUUUGUAGCUUUACUGCUGAUUAUUUGUAAGUGCUUUUUUACCCAUCUUCGGCUUGGGUACUUUUCUUUGGUGGGCUAGAAGAGAUAUGGUUCUAGGCGCUGAUGGUUGAGCUGCAUUCAAAUUAAUAUUCAAGAAAUGAGACUAGGUUCAAGCAAACCACGUCCUUCAGGGUAAAAAUGAAAAAAAAAAAUGUGGAAACAGAAAAGAAAGUUGGGCAAUAUGUAGUAUUUUUUUAUGUGCUAGUUAAUUUGUUUCACCAUGUUUGUGAGGGCUAAUAUGAACUAGUUUUUCAUAUGCAAAGAGUGAAGUUCAAUAGCUAUAUUAAUUUGUAAUGACAUAAUUUAUGUAAAUUUCCUGAUAGAACAUAAACCAUGUUAAUUUGAAAUGUAUUUGGCUCAUAUACGCAGAGAGUUUUGGCCAUAUUUAUUUGUAAUUACAUAAUUUAUAUAAAAUUUCUAGUGAUAGAACAUCACAAGUAAAUUUUCUA
Molecule: long non-coding RNA, 796 nt
Organism: Carya illinoinensis
Lineage: Eukaryota; Viridiplantae; Streptophyta; Magnoliopsida; Fagales; Juglandaceae
Exons: 2
Source: RefSeq, a predicted model, not a curated record